This 519-nucleotide ribosomal RNA is filed under the name uncultured bacterium. RNAcentral's name for it is "partial 16S ribosomal RNA". It matches the Rfam family "Bacterial small subunit ribosomal RNA", at positions 28 to 507 of the family's 1533-position model. The record is from RNAcentral.
GACGAACGCUGGCGGCGUGCCUAAUACAUGCAAGUUGAGCGAGCUUGCCUAGAUGAAUUUGGUGCUUGCACCAGAUGAAACUAGAUACAAGCGAGCGGCGGACGGGUGAGUAACACGUGGGUAACCUGCCCAAGAGACUGGGAUAACACCUGGAAACAGAUGCUAAUACCGGAUAACAACACUAGACGCAUGUCUAGAGUUUAAAAGAUGGUUCUGCUAUCACUCUUGGAUGGACCUGCGGUGCAUUAGCUAGUUGGUAAGGCAACGGCUUACCAAGGCAAUGAUGCAUAGCCGAGUUGAGAGACUGAUCGGCCACAUUGGGACUGAGACACGGCCCAAACUCCUACGGGAGGCAGCAGUAGGGAAUCUUCCACAAUGGACGCAAGUCUGAUGGAGCAACGCCGCGUGAGUGAAGAAGGGUUUCGGCUCGUAAAGCUCUGUUGGUAGUGAAGAAAGAUAGAGGUAGUAACUGGCCUUUAUUUGACGGUAAUUACUUAGAAAGUCACGGCUAACUACGUG